RNAcentral lists this ribosomal RNA (465 nucleotides) under uncultured bacterium. RNAcentral describes it as "bacterial SSU rRNA". It matches the Rfam family "Bacterial small subunit ribosomal RNA", at positions 29 to 506 of the family's 1533-position model. The record is from RNAcentral.
ACGAACGCUGGCGGCGUGGCUAAGGCAUGCAAGUCGAGCGAACCUACUUCAAGGGUAACUGAGAGGUUGGUUAGCGGCGGACGGGUGAGGAAUACAUGGGUAACGUGCCCCGGACUCAGGGAUAGCUUUCCGAAAGGAAUGGUAAUACCUGAUGACCCCGUAGGAUCGCAUGAUCCAGCGGGCAAAGUUCCGGCGGUCUGGGAGCGGCUCAUGUCCUAUCAGCUAGUUGGCGGGGUAACGGCCCACCAAGGCUGCAACGGGUACCGGGCGUGAGAGCGCGACCCGGCACAUCGGAACUGAGACACGGUCCGGACACCUACGGGUGGCUGCAGCAACGAAUAUUCCGCAAUGGACGAAAGUCUGACGGAGCGACGCCGCGUGGAGGAUGAAGUCCCUCGGGAUGUAAACUCCUGUCAGGGGUUAGGAAAUUUGACCAGCCCCAGAGGAAGCCACGGCUAACUCCGU